UCGCUCUCAUCGCAACAACGCACAAAUCUCCCCAGGCCGCGACGAAAUUUCCAUUCGCUGGCUCGCAGAUCCCCAGCGGGUCGAAUUCCCACUCGGCUCUCCGCCUGCGCAAUCAUUCCAGAGACUGCAGUGACAAUUAAGCCAACAGCCAGGGAUCAAAAUGCCCUACCUGGAAGAACAAGGAGAAGAAGAAAUCUUUACGGACAUGGCUGCCCGAGCUCCGCGGAGGCGCCUGGAAUCCACUCGUACCACUGCAUUCCUCCAUCCCCAAUCGCGCGGCUG
Molecule: long non-coding RNA, 282 nt
Filed under: Selaginella moellendorffii
Lineage: Eukaryota; Viridiplantae; Streptophyta; Lycopodiopsida; Selaginellales; Selaginellaceae
Description: long non-coding RNA (SMOE_LNC000831)
Source: RNAcentral